Molecule: ribosomal RNA, 799 nt
Filed under: Cadophora sp. Di103-4
Lineage: Eukaryota; Fungi; Ascomycota; Leotiomycetes; Helotiales; Ploettnerulaceae
Description: eukaryotic LSU rRNA
Rfam family: Eukaryotic large subunit ribosomal RNA
Source: RNAcentral
UACCUCAGUAACGGCGAGUGAAGCGGUAACAGCUCAAAUUUGAAAGCUAGCUCUUUUAGGGUUCGCAUUGUAAUUUGUAGAAGAUGCUUCGGGUGUGGCCCCGGUCUAAGUUCCUUGGAACAGGACGUCAUAGAGGGUGAGAAUCCCGUAUGUGACUGGGUGCUUUCGCUCAUGUGAAGCUCUUUCGACGAGUCGAGUUGUUUGGGAAUGCAGCUCAAAAUGGGUGGUAAAUUUCAUCUAAAGCUAAAUAUUGGCCAGAGACCGAUAGCGCACAAGUAGAGUGAUCGAAAGAUGAAAAGCACUUUGGAAAGAGAGUUAAACAGUACGUGAAAUUGUUGAAAGGGAAGCGCUUGCAACCAGACUUGCGCGCUGAUGAUCAUCCGGGCUUCUGUCCGGUGCACUCGUCUGCGCUCAGGCCAGCAUCGGUUUCGGUGGUGGGAUAAAGGCCUUGGGAAUGUAGCUUCUUUCGGGGAGUGUUAUAGCCCUCGGUGCAAUGCCGCCUACCGGGACCGAGGACCGCGCUUCGGCUAGGAUGCUGGCGUAAUGGUUGUAAGCGACCCGUCUUGAAACACGGACCAAGGAGUCUAACAUCUAUGCGAGUGUUUGGGUGUCAAACCCAUACGCGUAAUGAAAGUGAACGGAGGUGAGAACCCUUAAGGGUGCAUCAUCGACCGAUCCUGAUGUCUUCGGAUGGAUUUGAGUAAGAGCAUAGCUGUUGGGACCCGAAAGAUGGUGAACUAUGCGUGAAUAGGGUGAAGCCAGAGGAAACUCUGGUGGAGGCUCGCAGCGGUUCUGACGU